GGUUAAGCGACUAAGCGUACACGGUGGAUGCCCUGGCAGUCAGAGGCGAUGAAGGACGUGCUAAUCUGCGAUAAGCGUCGGUAAGGUGAUAUGAACCGUUAUAACCGGCGAUUUCCGAAUGGGGAAACCCAGUGUGUUUCGACACACUAUCAUUAACUGAAUCCAUAGGUUAAUGAGGCGAACCGGGGGAACUGAAACAUCUAAGUACCCCGAGGAAAAGAAAUCAACCGAGAUUCCCCCAGUAGCGGCGAGCGAACGGGGAGGAGCCCAGAGCCUGAAUCAGUGUGUGUGUUAGUGGAAGCGUCUGGAAAGGCGCGCGAUACAGGGUGACAGCCCCGUACACAAAAAUGCACAUGCUGUGAGCUCGAUGAGUAGGGCGGGACACGUGGUAUCCUGUCUGAAUAUGGGGGGACCAUCCUCCAAGGCUAAAUACUCCUGACUGACCGAUAGUGAACCAGUACCGUGAGGGAAAGGCGAAAAGAACCCCGGCGAGGGGAGUGAAAAAGAACCUGAAACCGUGUACGUACAAGCAGUGGGAGCACGCUUAGGCGUGUGACUGCGUACCUUUUGUAUAAUGGGUCAGCGACUUAUAUUCUGUAGCAAGGUUAACCGAAUAGGGGAGCCGAAGGGAAACCGAGUCUUAACUGGGCGUUAAGUUGCAGGGUAUAGACCCGAAACCCGGUGAUCUAGCCAUGGGCAGGUUGAAGGUUGGGUAACACUAACUGGAGGACCGAACCGACUAAUGUUGAAAAAUUAGCGGAUGACUUGUGGCUGGGGGUGAAAGGCCAAUCAAACCGGGAGAUAGCUGGUUCUCCCCGAAAGCUAUUUAGGUAGCGCCUCGUGAAUUCAUCUCCGGGGGUAGAGCACUGUUUCGGCAAGGGGGUCAUCCCGACUUACCAACCCGAUGCAAACUGCGAAUACCGGAGAAUGUUAUCACGGGAGACACACGGCGGGUGCUAACGUCCGUCGUGAAGAGGGAAACAACCCAGACCGCCAGCUAAGGUCCCAAAGUCAUGGUUAAGUGGGAAACGAUGUGGGAAGGCCCAGACAGCCAGGAUGUUGGCUUAGAAGCAGCCAUCAUUUAAAGAAAGCGUAAUAGCUCACUGGUCGAGUCGGCCUGCGCGGAAGAUGUAACGGGGCUAAACCAUGCACCGAAGCUGCGGCAGCGACGCUUAUGCGUUGUUGGGUAGGGGAGCGUUCUGUAAGCCUGUGAAGGUGUGCUGUGAGGCAUGCUGGAGGUAUCAGAAGUGCGAAUGCUGACAUAAGUAACGAUAAAGCGGGUGAAAAGCCCGCUCGCCGGAAGACCAAGGGUUCCUGUCCAACGUUAAUCGGGGCAGGGUGAGUCGACCCCUAAGGCGAGGCCGAAAGGCGUAGUCGAUGGGAAACAGGUUAAUAUUCCUGUACUUGGUGUUACUGCGAAGGGGGGACGGAGAAGGCUAUGUUGGCCGGGCGACGGUUGUCCCGGUUUAAGCGUGUAGGCUGGUUUUCCAGGCAAAUCCGGAAAAUCAAGGCUGAGGCGUGAUGACGAGGCACUACGGUGCUGAAGCAACAAAUGCCCUGCUUCCAGGAAAAGCCUCUAAGCAUCAGGUAACAUCAAAUCGUACCCCAAACCGACACAGGUGGUCAGGUAGAGAAUACCAAGGCGCUUGAGAGAACUCGGGUGAAGGAACUAGGCAAAAUGGUGCCGUAACUUCGGGAGAAGGCACGCUGAUAUGUAGGUGAAGUCCCUCGCGGAUGGAGCUGAAAUCAGUCGAAGAUACCAGCUGGCUGCAACUGUUUAUUAAAAACACAGCACUGUGCAAACACGAAAGUGGACGUAUACGGUGUGACGCCUGCCCGGUGCCGGAAGGUUAAUUGAUGGGGUCAGCGCAAGCGAAGCUCUUGAUCGAAGCCCCGGUAAACGGCGGCCGUAACUAUAACGGUCCUAAGGUAGCGAAAUUCCUUGUCGGGUAAGUUCCGACCUGCACGAAUGGCGUAAUGAUGGCCAGGCUGUCUCCACCCGAGACUCAGUGAAAUUGAACUCGCUGUGAAGAUGCAGUGUACCCGCGGCAAGACGGAAAGACCCCGUGAACCUUUACUAUAGCUUGACACUGAACAUUGAGCCUUGAUGUGUAGGAUAGGUGGGAGGCUU
This 2131-nucleotide ribosomal RNA is filed under the name Escherichia coli. RNAcentral describes it as "partial 23S ribosomal RNA". It matches the Rfam family "Bacterial large subunit ribosomal RNA", at positions 1 to 2157 of the family's 2925-position model. The record is from RNAcentral. Lineage: Bacteria; Pseudomonadati; Pseudomonadota; Gammaproteobacteria; Enterobacterales; Enterobacteriaceae.